RNAcentral lists this ribosomal RNA (327 nucleotides) under uncultured eukaryote. RNAcentral's name for it is "partial 18S ribosomal RNA". It matches the Rfam family "Eukaryotic small subunit ribosomal RNA", at positions 1470 to 1796 of the family's 1831-position model. The record is from RNAcentral.
CCCUUAGAUGUUCUGGGCCGCACGCGCGCUACACUGAUGCAUGCAACGAGUUCUAUCCUUGGCCGGAAGGCCUGGGUAAUCUGUGAACGUGCAUCGUGAUAGGGAUAGAUUAUUGCAAUUAUUAAUCUUGAACGAGGAAUUCCUAGUAAACGCAAGUCAUCAGCUUGCAUUGAUUACGUCCCUGCCCUUUGUACACACCGCCCGUCGCACCUACCGAUUGAAUGGUCCGGUGAAAUCUUCGGAUCUGAGAGAUGUCUGAUUAAUUUCGGACGCCUUUUGGAAAAGUUGUUUAAACCUUACCAUUUAGAGGAAGGUGAAGUCGUAACA